Molecule: ribosomal RNA, 449 nt
Filed under: uncultured bacterium
Lineage: Bacteria
Description: partial 16S ribosomal RNA
Rfam family: Bacterial small subunit ribosomal RNA
Source: RNAcentral
AACAAACGCUGGCGGCAGGCCUAACACAUGCAAGUCGAACGCCCUAGCAAUAGGGAGUGGCAGACGGGUGAGUAACACGUGGGAACCUUCCCUAUAGUAUGGAAUAGCCCAGGGAAACUUGGAGUAAUACCGUAUACGCCCGAGAGGGGAAAGAUUUAUCGCUAUAGGAUGGGCCCGCGUAGGAUUAGCUAGUUGGGGAGGUAAUGGCUCACCAAGGCGACGAUCCUUAGCUGGUCUGAGAGGACGACCAGCCACACUGGGACUGAGACACGGCCCAGACUCCUACGGGAGGCAGCAGUGGGGAAUAUUGGACAAUGGGCGCAAGCCUGAUCCAGCCAUGCCGCGUGAGUGAUGAAGGCCUUAGGGUUGUAAAGCUCUUUUGCCGGGGACGAUAAUGACGGUACCCGGAGAAUAAGUCCCGGCUAACUUCGUGCCAGCAGCCGCCGUAA